CAGAAUUUUUGUGCUUUCUCAGUCUUGCUGAUGAUCUUUCUAUGGGCCUGAAGCGUGGAGAGUGCCAGAGAGGCUGAUCCUCAGCAGUGUGGCAGAGGAAAGUUGGGUGCGACUAAGGGGUAUGCGGUGCCCACAUGCCACUGGGUCCUCAGCAGUACCACCUGAUUGGAAGUGAUAUUGGUGGAAGACAACAUUUUGCCGCUUGGAAUUCUCACCUCCACACCAAAGAAGUACUGUUUUUGUCAUUUGCACCAGCUUCUUUCUCCAGGAAAGAUCAAAACGAUGCACUGCAAGUGUGAUUGGUCCAGAUAGCUGCCUUAUCCAACUGCCUCCUUUGGACCACUUCAUCAUGGGACAGCUUGAUGCAAUCUACUUGACAAGACCCUGGAACCCCACACCCCUCAUGGAACCAGUGUCCACCUCCCAGUCACAGUGUGACCCCAGGGAACUCUUGCCUGCUUGCUUUAAACCCACCACUUAAAAGUCUCCACAGAAAACCUGUUUGAAUAGUACCCUUGACCCAAUAAGGGCAUUGGCCCCUGGGUGUCUCUCUCUCUCUCUCUCUCUCUCUCUCCCUCUCUCUCCCUCUCUCUCUCUCGCUCCCUGACCUCUGCGUGUGGACUCCAGGCAUGCCAUAUACCCCUCAGGACCUGAAGCAAAAGAAUGAAUUAAAGAAAACUCCAGAGAAUGAGCUGACAACCUACUCCCUGGUCAGUGGCUCUCCAUGCCUACCUGUGGUCUCUUGGACACCCUUGCAGAUGACUUCCUGGGAACUCUUCUGGGAGUGAAUGUUAUCAGCAAAUUCCCAAAACAACACCCCUUAGACAAAAAGCCUCCUCACCUAUGCAUUGCCUAGACCACCCACUAAAGGUGAUGGCCACAAAGAGGUGGAUUUGUUGAGUUGGUGCCAUUCCUUCUACUGCCAGCUUCACCAAAACAAUGACACAGUCUUCCUUCCGCAUGGAGACUCUUCUCUUUCCUGUGUUGCAGUGGAUGCCUCCUGCAGAUAAGAAAUGCUUAACUGAGAAAUGCUCAUGUUGGGAUAUCAUCGAUGAGACUUUAAUUUGGGCAUGGUGACUGUUUCCCUUGCUGCCACUUGACUCAAUCCCAGGAGCCUCAGUAGAGGAUAUAAUAUUACACAAGAUGCUCAAAAUGGUGGAAUUGCU
Molecule: long non-coding RNA, 1166 nt
Filed under: Homo sapiens (human)
Lineage: Eukaryota; Metazoa; Chordata; Mammalia; Primates; Hominidae
Description: non-protein coding lnc-SNRPN-8:135
Source: RNAcentral